AUCCAUCAGACAAGUCCCAAAUAGAACCAAAUGCGCAUCCUGGAU
This is a non-coding RNA of Schistosoma mattheei, 45 nucleotides long. Lineage: Eukaryota; Metazoa; Platyhelminthes; Trematoda; Strigeidida; Schistosomatidae. The record is from Rfam.